This 253-nucleotide ribosomal RNA is filed under the name uncultured bacterium. RNAcentral's name for it is "partial 16S ribosomal RNA". It matches the Rfam family "Bacterial small subunit ribosomal RNA", at positions 524 to 776 of the family's 1533-position model. The record is from RNAcentral.
GACAGAGGGGGCAAGCGUUGCUCGGAAUCACUGGGCGUAAAGGGCGCGUAGGCGGGAUGGCAAGUCGGUCGUGAAAUCUCUCGGCUCAACCGAGAAACGUCGGCCGAUACUGCCGUUCUUGAGGGAUGCAGAGGAGACUGGAAUUCCCGGUGUAGCGGUGAAAUGUGUAGAGAUCGGGAGGAACACCGGUAGCGAAGGCGGGUCUCUGGGCAUUUCCUGACGCUGAGGCGCGAAAGCAUGGGGAGCAAACAGG